UGUGGGAGCUGGCUUGCCUGCGAUGACGGUGGUGAAUGCACCGGCGCUAUCGCAGGCAAGCCAGCUCCCACA
This 72-nucleotide non-coding RNA is filed under the name Pseudomonas lurida. The record is from RNAcentral. Lineage: Bacteria; Pseudomonadati; Pseudomonadota; Gammaproteobacteria; Pseudomonadales; Pseudomonadaceae.